Molecule: long non-coding RNA, 2207 nt
Organism: Ictalurus furcatus (blue catfish)
Lineage: Eukaryota; Metazoa; Chordata; Actinopteri; Siluriformes; Ictaluridae
Exons: 3
Source: RefSeq, a predicted model, not a curated record
GCUGCGCAUCUCUUGACUAGGGAUGUUGAUGCACCGUGCUGUAAGAGGAUGCUUGCUGAAGCGGAUAAAGAGGAAUCUGAUGACUCAGAGGAAAGCAGGAGGGUAAUGAAAAGUGCAACAGAACGAAAAAAAAAUUAAGAAAAAGUCAAGUAACGCCUCAAAAGGGAAGCAGGUGUCACGUCCCCCUUCUCCACCUCCAUUUAUCGCUCACCACCAAAAAGAAAACAUCUGUGUGGAGACACGGCAGCCAGUCCCCCAAUCAACAUCAUCAAAUAUGGAAGUUGAGGUGAACAUUCACCCUACUCCACAGGAUAACCAAACAUUCAGUGGCCUAGAUGGCAGUGGAGUUUCACAGAGAUGGACUCAUUCCUGGUGUCCACCCCUGUGCGUUCUGUGUGUGUACUUUGUGCUAUUUUUGUGAAUAGUCAUAGGUCAGAUGCAUGACAAUUUGUCACAUAAAUAUGUAUUCUGUUUUUGAUAAAUAGUUUGUUCAUAUUGCAGCUCAAUGUUUGUUCAUAUUGCAGCUCUUACCACGGCCUCUCAAAACUCUCAGGGAGUUAGAGGAUCUGAAUGUGUCGCAGGUCUGAAUUUGGUGUCGCAGGAAGUGUCGCAGGAAGCAGUGUCCCUCGAGCUGACGCUAUUUUCUUCUAAUCUCUAUACUUUAAAAUGAUUCUUUUUUUUUUUUUACCUUUACAACAUUUAUUAUGUUGUAUGAUGUAUAAACAUCAUUAUACAACAACAUUAACAUAUAUAUAAUAUCACUGAUACUACUUUAAAUAAAACAAUCGUAACGUUGUGCUGUCGCUAAGUUUUAUUGGUUCUUACAAACAUCCGUGACUAGUGAUGCUAGCUGUCUACAAGCCUCACUGCUAGCCUUGUUUACAUUUUACAUUUAUCUCAUUUACCGCUGUUUUUUAAAGCAAAUAUGUCGGUUGUUUCUCCGAUUUUGAGUGCACCUGGUGCUGCUGGAACUAGGGGAUGUGGAGAAACACAUCCGCGACCUACUCGACAAGCAGGCCCAGCUGCUGGAGUGAAGAACUGCGCUGGAAACAUCUUGUGCUUCUGCCUACACAUCCAGGCAUGCUUACUUGAAGACAAUGAGGGGGAGCAGCAUCGGAGAGAUAGUUUGCUCCAUUCUCCAAAGAAUCGGGGAGAACAACCUGUGGUGUAUGUUUUCGUUGAAAGGGUCCAAAGGUGGGAAGUUGGCUUUGACUGAUCAGGAUGAAGUGUAUCGCCUUUUACACUAUAUUGCUGAACAAGCCCAUGGACGUGAAUAUACUGUUGCCAGUUGCAGAGAGGCCAUCGGCAGCUACGUAAAAAAUGCCCCAGCCAGGAAAAGUGGCAAGAAACAUAAUAUGAUUGUUUAUGCAUGUCUAGAAUUUAAAUCUACAACUUCUGUGAUUCUGUUUCUUUUCUCAUUCAUACAGAUGUGCCAUUGUGUAACAUUGUUGACUGAUUCAUUAGUUUUUAUAUCCAUUUGAAAAGCAAAAACCUUUCCACUAUGCAUAUAACUGAAAGUGCAUACAUACUCCAAACCUUUUGUGAAUAUUGAUGAUUGAUUUGGAGGUUUCAAAUUAUGAGUGAAUUGUGGUUCACUUUCUUGCGUUCAGGAAUGUGUAGCUAAUGUCUGUAGUUUACUGAUUCAGUAAUUGUUGGUUCAGACUGCAUCAUAUAGUACAUGUAUAUACCAAUGAAAUGAAAUGCCAUAUAUUCAGAUAUAUCCACUGUCUGUUCACAGCAGAGCUACGUGGGAUCUCCACUGCGUCCUACAAGAAUUGGGUGUGAGUCCAAUUUUGGAAUCUCAUUCCUCUCCCUCGCGUGACAUCCUCCAAACAGUACAAUUCUAAUGAGCUUGUAUAUACUGAGAAUUCCAUUGGGAUUUGUUUGAUGUCUGAUUAAUAAAUUGUUUUCUAUGUUUAGCAAUACAUAGGUAUAUCUGGCUGUUUUGUGUGUUACAAUAUUGAAUGUCAUUUUUCAGCUAUUCACUUUGUCUGCAUUUACUAAAAUUCAUGCAUGUUUAUUAAAAAUAUUCACGGAGUUUGUUAAACUAUAUCAUUGUUACCUGUCAUUCAUAAGAUUCAUCAUGGGAAUUUCACAGACCAGAAUCUAACAUCCACAUUAUUGAAGCAUUGUUUAAUUACGGAUUUUUUAAAGCAUGCGGUAUGUUAUAUGCUUUAAUUGUAUCUUGCCACAUAAUGUUGGAAAAU